UUAUGUCGGUCUGUGGCACAGUGAAGGGG
This 29-nucleotide small RNA is filed under the name Bombyx mori (domestic silkworm). RNAcentral's name for it is "ovarian small RNA-9468". Lineage: Eukaryota; Metazoa; Arthropoda; Insecta; Lepidoptera; Bombycidae. The record is from RNAcentral.